UACAGAGUGAGUUCCAGGACAGCUAGGGC
RNAcentral lists this non-coding RNA (29 nucleotides) under Mus musculus (house mouse). RNAcentral also lists the same sequence under 1 other name. The record is from RNAcentral. Lineage: Eukaryota; Metazoa; Chordata; Mammalia; Rodentia; Muridae.